AGUGGCGGACGGGUGAGUAACGCGUGGGUAACCUGCCCCAUAGAGGGGGACAACAGCUGGAAACGGCUGCUAAUACCGCAUGGGAAAGCGGGACCGCAUGGUCCUGCUUUGAAAGAUUUAUCGCUAUGGGAUGGACCCGCGUCUGAUUAGCUUGUUGGUAAGGUAACGGCUUACCAAGGCGACGAUCAGUAGCCGGCUUGAGAGAGUGAACGGCCACAUUGGGACUGAGACACGGCCCAGACUCCUACGGGAGGCAGCAGUGGGGAAUAUUGCACAAUGGGGGGAACCCUGAUGCAGCGACGCCGCGUGAGUGAAGAAGUAUUUCGGUAUGUAAAGCUCUAUCAGCAGGGAAGAUAAUGACGGUACCUGACUAAGAAGCCCCGGCUAACUCCGUGCCAGCAGCCGCGGUAAUACGGAGGAUGCGAGCGUUAUCCGGAUUUAUUGGGUUUAAAGGGUGCGUAGGCGGAUUUUUAAGUCAGCGGUAAAAUGUCCGGGCUCAACCCGGGCCGGCCGUUGAAACUGGGGAUCUUGAGUGGGCGAGAAGUAUGCGGAAUGCGUGGUGUAGCGGUGAAAUGCAUAGAUAUCACGCAGAACUCCGAUUGCGAAGGCAGCAUACCGGCGCCCGACUGACGCUGAGGCACGAAAGCGUGGGGAUCGANCAGGAUUAGAUACCCUGGUA
Molecule: ribosomal RNA, 679 nt
Filed under: uncultured bacterium
Lineage: Bacteria
Description: bacterial SSU rRNA
Rfam family: Bacterial small subunit ribosomal RNA
Source: RNAcentral